Pezoporus flaviventris is the source of this 638-nucleotide long non-coding RNA. RefSeq lists it as uncharacterized. The transcript is spliced from 4 exons. The record is from RefSeq and is a predicted model, not a curated record. NCBI's taxonomy places the organism in Eukaryota, Metazoa, Chordata, Aves, Psittaciformes, Psittacidae.
CAAUGAAGAAACAUGCAUCACAGUGUUAAAGGUGAAAUCAACUCCCAACAUUAACACCAUAAAACUACAAUGUUGAAACCCCUUUGUAGGUGCUCCUACAGUUAAAGGCUAUUCUACACAAAAGGAAGUUCGUGUCUGUUCAUCCUGUGAAAUCCAGAAUGAGAUUCAUCUCACUCUACCUUAGACAUUUAAAACCUAUUUUCUCAAGUUAUUGAACUCAUAGUGUGAUGUCAGCUAACAGAACCGUCAAUUUCUUUAACUAAUGAAUAAAGAUCACCAGAAAAGUGAUGAACUGCUACAAAGUUUUAGAGGAGGAAUGUCACACACUUUGACACGCAUACCCCUGUGCCUAUGAAAAAUAAUUAAUGGUUAGUGAAAACAACUGACUUAUUAAAGAGAAAGAAACUUCUAUUAAAAAGAAUUUGGAGGCUCCAGCAGGACUUAAAAAUCCACUAAACUAACCACAAAGUCUCAAGUUGGUGUCAGUGACAGAAAGUGCAGAAGAGAUAAAGCUGUACCACAAAAGGAAAAUUCAGGAAUUACAGUCUUCUUCCUUGCUUCUUGUGAUAUGGAGGUAAGAACGCAAUAUUUAUGGAUUGACCAGCAGCAAUUCAAAUACAUAUUAUUUGCAUAUGAAA